Molecule: small RNA, 417 nt
Filed under: Histoplasma ohiense
Lineage: Eukaryota; Fungi; Ascomycota; Eurotiomycetes; Onygenales; Ajellomycetaceae
Description: hypothetical lncRNA
Source: RNAcentral
AACCCUCGAUGUUCUUCCACUCCGUGCUCCGCACUUGUGUAGUUUCUAAUGAUUCUUCUGUGUAGCUCUUAACAUUCUUCCACUCUGUGCUCCACACUCACAUAGUCUCUAACAAUUCUUCCAUGUAGCUCCUUAUGUUCUCCCACUCUGUGUUCCACACUCAUAUAGUCUCUAACAAUUCUUCUGUGUAGCUCUCAAUGAUUCCUCCACCCCACAUUCCACACUUGUGUAGCUUCUAAUGAUUCUUAUGUGUACCUCUUAAUGUUCUUCCACUCCAUACUCCACUGUGGAGCAGCUUCUGAUAUUCUUCCACUCUGAACUUUCCUCUAUAAGAACCCUCUUCAUAUGACCUUUUCUUCUGAUUUCUUUUCUCUUUCUUUUCUUAAUCAAUUUGUAAUCUGUAAUUAGGAUAGUACC